RNAcentral lists this long non-coding RNA (441 nucleotides) under Oryza sativa aus subgroup. RNAcentral describes it as "lncRNA OsN22_03G036450". Lineage: Eukaryota; Viridiplantae; Streptophyta; Magnoliopsida; Poales; Poaceae. The record is from RNAcentral.
AUGGAGGACUGGGUCGUCCUCAGCGGCAGCGACGGCGGCCACAGCGUGGAGCUCCACGACGGCAGCGAGAGCAGCUUCGCGGUCGUGCACGAGAACGCAGAGAUAUCUGACGCGACAGAGAGCAACUAUGACCACGUCGACUCCAAGAUCGCCGCCGCCAAGGACACGACCUUCUCCGGCGAGGACUUGGAUGAUGAGACCGACGAUGACAUUGAUCAAUGCUUUGAUGAGGAGGACGGAAUCUGUGAGGAGAACCCCGAUGGCGAAAUCUUCGACGACGAUGAGGAAAUCGACUGCGAGGAAGAAUUGGAUGAUGAUGAUGAUGAGAGCCUCGACGGUGAUGACGUUGAAUGCUUUGAUGCAGAGGACAUAAUCUGCAAGGAGAACCCGGACGAUGAAAUCAUGUCCCACUUAUUAUUAACCUAGCUAGUACCAAUUUAG